This 441-nucleotide ribosomal RNA is filed under the name uncultured bacterium. Its description in RNAcentral is "partial 16S ribosomal RNA". It matches the Rfam family "Bacterial small subunit ribosomal RNA", at positions 338 to 795 of the family's 1533-position model. The record is from RNAcentral.
CCUACGGGUGGCAGCAGUCGGGAAUAUUGCGCAAUGGAGGAAACUCUGACGCAGUGACGCCGCGUAUAGGAAGAAGUUUCUCGGAAUGUAAAACAUUGUUGUUAGGGAAGAGAAAGGAGAGUACCUAAGGAGGAAGAUACGGCUAAAUACGUGCCAGCAGCCGCGGUAAUACGUAGGGAGCGAGCGUUAUCCGGAUUUAUUGGGUGUAAAGGGUGCGUAGACGGGAAAAGAAGUUAGUUGUGAAAUCCCUCGGCUUAACUGAGGAACUGCAACUAAAACUAUUUUUCUUGAGUGCAGGAGAGGUAAGUGGAAUGCGUGGUGUAGCGGUGAAAUGCGUAGAUAUUAGGAAGAACACCGGUGGCGAAGGCGACUUACUGGACUGUAACUGACGUUGAGGCACGAAAGUGUGGGUAUCAAACAGGAUUAGAUACCCCUGUAGUC